Molecule: ribosomal RNA, 496 nt
Filed under: uncultured bacterium
Lineage: Bacteria
Description: partial 16S ribosomal RNA
Rfam family: Bacterial small subunit ribosomal RNA
Source: RNAcentral
AUUGAACGCUGGCGGAAUGCUUUACACAUGCAAGUCGAACGGUAGAGGGGGCGACCCCUUGAGAGUGGCGAACGGGUGAGUAAUAUAUCGGAACGUGCCCAGUCGUGGGGGAUAACGUAGCGAAAGUUACGCUAAUACCGCAUACGAUCUAAGGAUGAAAGCGGGGGACCGUAAGGCCUCGCGCGAUUGGAGCGGCCGAUAUCAGGUUAGGUAGUUGGUGAGGUUAAGGCUCACCAAGCCAACGAUCUGUAGCUGGUCUGAGAGGACGACCAGCCACACUGGAACUGAGACGCGGUCCAGACUCCUACGGGAGGCAGCAGUGGGGAAUUUUGGACAAUGGACGCAAGUCUGACCCAGCCAUUCCGCGUGCAGGAUGAAGGCCCUCGGGUUGUAAACUGCUUUUGUACGGAACGAAAAGAUCUCUCCUAAUACGAGGGGCUCAUGACGGUACCGUAAGAAUAAGCACCGGCUAACUACGUGCCAGCCGCCGCCGUAA